Molecule: ribosomal RNA, 449 nt
Filed under: uncultured bacterium
Lineage: Bacteria
Description: partial 16S ribosomal RNA
Rfam family: Bacterial small subunit ribosomal RNA
Source: RNAcentral
AGCGAACGCUGGCGGCCGGCCUAACACAUGCAAGUCGAACGAACUCUUCGGAGUUAGUGGCGGACGGGUGAGUAACACGUGGGAACGUGCCUUUAGGUUCGGAAUAACUCAGGGAAACUUGUGCUAAUACCGAAUGUGCCCUUCGGGGGAAAGAUUUAUCGCCUUUAGAGCGGCCCGCGUCUGAUUAGCUAGUUGGUGGGGUAAUGGCUCACCAAGGCUACGAUCAGUAGCUGGUCUGGGAGGAUGACCAGCCACAUUGGGACUGAGACACGGCCCAAACUCCUACGGGAGGCAGCAGUGGGGAAUCUUGCGCAAUGGGCGAAAGCCUGACGCAGCCAUGCCGCGUGGAUGAUGAAGGUCUUAGGAUUGUAAAAUCCUUUCACCGGUGAAGAUAAUGACUGUAGCCGGAGAAGAAGCCCCGGCUAACUUCGUGCCAGCCGCCGCCGUAA